This 497-nucleotide ribosomal RNA is filed under the name uncultured bacterium. Its description in RNAcentral is "partial 16S ribosomal RNA". It matches the Rfam family "Bacterial small subunit ribosomal RNA", at positions 28 to 507 of the family's 1533-position model. The record is from RNAcentral.
GAUGAACGCUGGCGGCGUGCCUAAUACAUGCAAGUCGAGCGAACAGACGAGUAGCUUGAUCCUCUGACGUUAGCGGCGGACGGGUGAGUAACACGUGGAUAACCUACCUAUAAGACUGUGAUAACUUCGGGAAACCGGUGCUACUACCUGCUAACCUCUUGAACCGCAUGGUUCAACAGUGACCGACGGUCUUGCUGUCACUUAUAGAUGGAUCCGCGCCGCAUUAGCUAGUUGGUCAGGUAACGGCUUACCAAGGCAACGAUGAGUAGCCGACCUGAGAGGGUGAUCGGCCACACUGGAACUGAGACACGGCCCAGACUCCUACGGGAGGCAGCAGUAGGGAAUCUUCCGCAAUGGGCGAAAGCCUGACGGAGCAACGCCGCGUGAGUGAAGAAGGUCUUCGGAUCGUAAAACUCUGUUAUUAGGGAAGAACAAAUGUGUAAGUAACUAUGCACGUCAUGACGGUACCGAAUCAGAAAGCCACGGCUAACUACGUG